RNA transcript from Meriones unguiculatus (Mongolian gerbil), 2974 nucleotides. It is a transcript of the gene named FA complementation group E, with no coding region annotated. The record is from RefSeq and is a predicted model, not a curated record. The transcript is spliced from 9 exons. NCBI's taxonomy places the organism in Eukaryota, Metazoa, Chordata, Mammalia, Rodentia, Muridae.
GGGCGCGCGGCGCGGCCUGGGGGUUCUGCGCGCCCUGGGCCGCCGCGCGGAGCACUUCCCUUGGGACGGCUUCCUGGAGGCGCUGGGCCGCGCAGAGCCCGAGGUGCGGGGCCCCGACGGCCGCCUGGAGCUGGUUCCACUGUUGCUGCGGUUGCCUGGGGUCUGCCGGAAAAACCUGAUGUGCCUGCUGAUGGCUGUUCGACCCUCGUUACCUGAGAGCGGCCUCCGCUCUGUGCUGCAGCUGGCCCAGCAGGACACAGCGUCUUCCCCUGAUGCCUGGCUCCGCGCCCUGGCGGAGCUGCUGCGAAGGGAUGUGGGGCUCGGAGGCCCGGCGGGGGGCACCUCUCCAUUAUCCACAAACUGUCGGUCACAGCUCCGAAACCUGUGCGGGCGGCUGGGCCAGGGCGGGAGGGGCCUGAAAUCAGCCCUGGCUGCAGAUCCUGAGCCAGAGGACAGGCACUCUCAGCUUUGUGGGAAACGGAGCAAGGAGCCAGAGGAAGAGCCUGCCGGCCCUGAGUCAGAGAGAGCCCCUAAGAGGUUCCGGGGUUGUGAGGAGGACUCGGUGGCGGCGGCGGCGGCGGCGGAAGGAAAGGACCAGGAAGAGGGACCCCAGCUGGAGUCCUGGGAAUCCCCUUCCAAAGGUGCAGGAGGUAUACUGCCUGACGCUGAAGCCCAGAUGCCUGAGACCAGCCCCGGUGCUGAGGAGGCCGAGGGUCCAGCCCAGACUGUGGAGUUGCCCGAAGUUGUCCAGGACCAGGUGCCCAGGCUGCAGGAGCUGCUGAAGGCCUUCCAGGAGGGCCUGGAGGGCUUGGAGGAGCAGCUCUCAGUGGACCUGCAGUGUCUCCAUGAGUGUAGUCCCAGCCAGAUGGAGGUGCUCUGCAGCCAGCUGCAGCUGCCCCAGCUCCCCGACGGAGGCGUCCUGCAGCUCUGCAGCCGCCUGCUGGGUCUCACGCCAGCCCUCAGCAUCGCCAGCGCCUCCGUGCUGGCCAGGAGCCUCUUUCUGGACCGGAUCCUCUCGCUGCCGGCCUCCGCCUCCAGGCUGCUCAGAGCUGCCCUGGUCUCCUUCUGCGUGAAAUACACCUACGCUGUGUGCAAGGCUGUGCUCUGUCCCCUGCUCCAGGACCCGGGCGUAGGUCCCGCCCAGACCGAGUUACUGUGUUCCCUUAUGAAGGAUGGGUCUCUAGAGCCGGACAUGCAGCUCCAGAUCCUGGGGCAGGUCCUGGAGCUGGCCUGGCGGGAGGAGACCUUCCUGGUGUUGCAGGCGCUGCUGGAACGGCAGGUGAGCGGGCUGCCUGAGAGGGCUUCGCUGUGAGGCAGGCCGCCAUUACGAUAUUAUUCUUGUCACUUGUUAUCUUGAGACAGGGGCUCAUGUAAUCCGGGCUGGCUUUGCACUCACAGUGUAGAAACAUGGCUUGUCUCCCCCGACCCCUGUUCUUUCACGAUUGGUGUAUGAUACCAUUCCUGGAUCCUGUCAUUUUUUUCAUCUUAGGUAACUAGUUAAUUACCUUUUUUGCUGUGAUAAAUUAGCUCACAAAGUCAACUUGAAGAAGGAAGACUUGGCCAUCUCUAACAUGAACUCAUAGGCUGCCUCUUUGAUCACCUCCACCUGACGGGGGGAGCAGCCUUACCCAUCCACAGAGAAAGACAAAGAAGCCAGUCCUGUUAGACUAGCGUCAGAUGGAAGGGGAGGAGGACCUCCCCUAUCAGUGGACUGGGGGAGGGGCAUAGGAGAAGAAGAGAGAGGGAGGAAGGGUGGGAUUGGGAGGGGAUGGGAGAGGGGGCUACAGUUGGGAUACAAAAUGAAUAAACUGUAAUUAAUAAAAAUUUUAAAAAAGGCAGGCUUGGUUUUGGCUUCCAGCUUAAGGAUACAGCCAGUCAUGUUGGGAGAGGCGUGGGGGGUCAGAGGCUGAGGCUGCUGGUUCCGUGGGGUCCGCAUACAGAAACUGAAGAGGACCCCAGCCCGAGGGAUGGUGCCUCCUGCCUUUAAGGAGGACCUUCCUUUAAUGGAGCCUUGCAGGUGCCCUCAUGGACACGCCCACGGGUGCAUUUCCAUGGGGACUGGAAAUCUGUCUAGUUGGCGGAUGAAGGUGGAGCAUCACAGUGGCUGACUGGCUGUUCCUGCCCAGGUCUCCUUCUCUGAGAGUGUGGUGAGAUUUCAAGAUGGCAGGUGUGAGGUGCUGACUGCCACCUCAUGCUGAUGAAGAGCUGGCGUGUCCCUCAGGACCUCCCUCCCUUCAGUCAGGCUUCAACCACUGAGGCAGGCUAGAGUCCCUGGCUCCCCCGUGGCCCUGGUCUGAGCAAGGGCAGUGAAGCCAUGGCUAUGCUGUCUCGUUUGUCUUCUUCACAGCCCUCAGUUACUUUGAGUUCUGUUGUCCAGUUGUGGAGAUGGGGCUUAACUUGGUGUGUUAGCAUCCCCUUACUGUGACAAAAUGCCAGAGGCAAAAAGCAGGGAGAAAGGCUGGCAUGGCUUCACAGUUCAGAGUUUCUCCCUGUUGUUGGCUCCUUUGCUCCUAGGCCUGUUGGAGGCGCCAACAUGGAGGGAGGAGCAUGUGAUAGGUAGGCUGCUUGGAUCGUGGCAGCUGAGAAGCAGAGGGAGAGCAGGGACCAGGUUACCACUGCCCCCUUUAGACAAACCCCAGUGGCCUGUAGGCUGCGCCAUCUCCCAGCACCUCGCCCUGGGACCACGUCUUCAGCACUUGGAUUUGUGGAGGAACAUUCUAGAGCCAUUCUAGAGAACUCUGUUCAGCUAUCUGCUAGGAAAUGGAGAGCUUGGGUUUGAACCAGGGCUGCCUUUGUGUCACUGUCCCAUGUCCCAAUGUGUGCAGGUGGAGAUGACCUCUGAGGUGUUCAGUGUCUUGGUGCAGAGGCUCUGCAAAGAGGGACCCACAGCCACCACCUCCAUGGCCUAUGCCAAGCUGAUGCUGACAGUGAUGACCAAGUACCAGGCCAGUAUCACAGAGCAGCAGAGCCUGGA